This 772-nucleotide ribosomal RNA is filed under the name uncultured archaeon. RNAcentral describes it as "bacterial SSU rRNA". It matches the Rfam family "Archaeal small subunit ribosomal RNA", at positions 53 to 800 of the family's 1478-position model. The record is from RNAcentral.
GCUAGUCGAGCGUCUCCAAGCUAUGGAAGAGACGCGGCACACAGCUCAGUAACACGUGGCUAACCUGCCCUUGGGACAAGGACAACUCCGGGAAACUGGGGCUAAUCCCUGAUAAGUGAGAACUCCUGGAAUGGAUUCUCGCUCAAAGGACGUUUAGACCAUGCUUCUAGGCGUCGCCCAAGGAGGGGGCCGCGACCGAUCAGGUUGUUGGUGAGGUAACGGCUCACCAAGCCUUUAACCGGUACGGGCCGUGAGAGCGGAAGCCCGGAGAUGGGCACUGAGACAAGGGCCCAGGCCCUACGGGGCGCAGCAGUCGCGAAAACUCCGCAAUACACGAAAGUGUGACGGGGCCAUCCCGAGUGCCAUCCGCUGAGGAUGGCUUUUCCCCAGUGUAUAAAGCUGGGGGAAUAAGGAGAGGGCAAGCCUGGUGUCAGCCGCCGCGGUAAUACCAGCUCUCCGAGUGGUGGGGAUGUUUAUUGGGCCUAAAGCAUUCGUAGCCUGCUUGGCAAGUCCUCCGUUAAAUCCAACGAUUCAAUCGUUGGGCUGCGGGGGAUACUGUCCAGCUAGGGGGCGGGAGAGGCCGACGGUAUCCCCGGGGUAGGGGUGAAAUCCUAUAAUCCCGGGAGGACCACCAGUGGCGAAGGCUGUCGGCUAGAACGUGCUCGACGGUGAGGGAUGAAAGCUGGGGGAGCGAACCGGAUUAGAUACCCGGGUAGUCCCAGCUGUAAACGAUGCAGGCUAGGUGUUGGCGCGGCUACGUGCCGCUCCAGUG